AUGCUUUGCUGUUAUGUUUGGUAUUAUCUUUCCAUCUUAUAACCUAGGGGGAUGAUCAUAUAAGUAAAUAAAUGUUUGUAAAUAGAACUCCACAUUCUUAUUUUGUUGGCUUGUAGGUUAUGUGUGACUGUUACACCCCAGCGGGAGAGCCAAUCCCCACUAACAAGAGGCACAAUGCUGCUAAGAUUUUUAGCCAUCCUGAUGUUGUUGCUGAAGUGCCAUGGUGUGUUCCUAAAUUUCAUUAUUUGUCUAUCUCAAACUUGUCUUCCUCUGAUGUAAUGGAUCUUUAUUAUUGGUUCAUCGCUUUUUAUUUUUCUAUUCAGGUAUGGAAUUGAGCAGGAGUACACCCUCUUGCAAAAGGAUGUCAAAUGGCCUCUUGGGUGGCCUGUUGGUGGUUUUCCUGGUCCUCAGGUAAUAUCUUUAAUUAGACUCAUUGGUGUUGGCAUGAUGGACCUUUUUCUUAUUUGCUUUCAUCUUUUAAUAAUGCAAUUAUUGUUGCCCAAAGAUAGAUAUAUUGUGACCUUCUUGUACAUUUUGAUUCUUUUUUUGGUAUCUAACAACCUAUUUCUGUUAGGUUGUUAAACAUCAGGAUGUUAAACAACUCCCGUUAUCUUUUUUUAUCUAACCUUUUUCUUAAAGUUUGAUGUCUAUUCUAUGAAAUUGAAGACUGCAAAAGAAAAUAAUAAUCAAAACAUUUGGGACGAAUGCUACUCAUUCUAUUCGAACAAAUUGAGUCAUCAUAUACUCCUUCUCAUCUAGAAAAUUCUAGAAAAGUAUGCAAAGGAUCUCAAUUGAGAUCAUGAAAUGGAAAAAUGAUGCAUGCCUAUUUGUUUUGUUCAUUAGUAGCAUUACUUUGGUGAUCUAUUAGGGCUGAUAGCAUAAUGAUUUCUAUUCUGCUUGACUUUGUCAAGUUGCUUUUACCAAAUCAAUUUUUCUUGAGAAUUGAAUCAUGAACUUAGACUACAACAUUUUCAGUUAGAUCUAAUCCAUUUAAGUUUCAUUUCAGGGCCCAUAUUACUGUUCUGCUGGUGCAGAUAAAGCCUUUGGCCGUGACAUAGUUGAUGCUCACUACAAAGCCUGUCUUUAUGCUGGCAUCAAUAUCAGUGGUAUCAAUGGGGAAGUCAUGCCAGGACAGGUAACAGCUUUUGUUUAUUUCAAUAACUGGGAGUUUUGCUCUUUGUCCUACUUGAAAUGAACAACUGCUUUCUGUGAUUUCUAGUGGGAGUUUCAAGUUGGACCUGCUGUUGGUAUUUCAGCUGGUGAUGAACUAUGGGUUGCA
RNAcentral lists this long non-coding RNA (1279 nucleotides) under Musa acuminata (dwarf banana). RNAcentral's name for it is "long non-coding RNA (MACU_LNC001441)". Lineage: Eukaryota; Viridiplantae; Streptophyta; Magnoliopsida; Zingiberales; Musaceae. The record is from RNAcentral.